RNAcentral lists this ribosomal RNA (490 nucleotides) under uncultured bacterium. RNAcentral's name for it is "partial 16S ribosomal RNA". It matches the Rfam family "Bacterial small subunit ribosomal RNA", at positions 29 to 507 of the family's 1533-position model. The record is from RNAcentral.
AGUGAACGCUGGCGGCAGGCCUAAUACAUGCAAGUCGAACGGCAGCACAGUGGAGCUUGCUCCAUGGGUGGCGAGUGGCGGACGGGUGAGGAAUACAUGGGAAUCUGCCCAGUCGUGGGGGAUAACGUAGGGAAACUUACGCUAAUACCGCAUGUGCCCUUCGGGGGAAAGCCGGGGACCUUCGGGCCUGGCGCGAUUGGAUGAGCCCAUGUUCGAUUAGCUAGUUGGCGGGGUAAAGGCCCACCAAGGCGACGAUCGAUAGCUGGUCUGAGAGGAUGAUCAGCCACACUGGGACUGAGACACGGCCCAGACUCCUACGGGAGGUAGCAGUAGGGAAUAUUGGACAAUGGGCGCAAGCCUGAUCCAGCCAUGCCGCGUGAGUGAAGAAGGCCCUCGGGUUGUAAAGCUCUUUUGUCCGGGAAGAAAAGCAUCGGGCUAAUACCUCGGUGUUCUGACGGUACCGGAAGAAUAAGCACCGGCUAACUUCGUG